UUGUAAUUUAGAGAAGUGUUAUCCGUGCUGGACCGUGUACAAGUCUCCUGGAAUGGAGCGUCAUAGAGGGUGAGAAUCCCGUCUUUGACACGGACUGCCAGUGCAUUGUGAUGCGCUCUC
Molecule: ribosomal RNA, 120 nt
Filed under: Mycena olivaceomarginata
Lineage: Eukaryota; Fungi; Basidiomycota; Agaricomycetes; Agaricales; Mycenaceae
Description: partial large subunit ribosomal RNA
Rfam family: Eukaryotic large subunit ribosomal RNA
Source: RNAcentral